RNAcentral lists this ribosomal RNA (240 nucleotides) under uncultured bacterium. Its description in RNAcentral is "partial 16S ribosomal RNA". It matches the Rfam family "Bacterial small subunit ribosomal RNA", at positions 928 to 1167 of the family's 1533-position model. The record is from RNAcentral.
AGCGGAGGAACAUGUGGUUUAAUUCGAUGAUACGCGAGGAACCUUACCCGGGCUUGAAUUGCAGAGGAAGGAUUUGGAGACAAUGAACGCCCUUCGGGGUCUCUGUGAAGGUGCUGCAUGGUUGUCGUCAGCUCGUGCCGUGAGGUGUCGGCUUAAGUGCCAUAACGAGCGCAACCCCUCUCCUUAGUUGCCAUCAGGUCAUGCUGGGCACUCUGGGGACACUGCCACCGUAAGGUGUGA